Molecule: long non-coding RNA, 3908 nt
Filed under: Homo sapiens (human)
Lineage: Eukaryota; Metazoa; Chordata; Mammalia; Primates; Hominidae
Description: HSALNT0324772
Source: RNAcentral
UUGAGGGACCCGGCCUGAUGUACGCUCUACCUUACCCCGUGAUUUUAUGACCUCGCAGUAGUGGGAAGUCAAAAUCACACGGUGAUUUUGGCAGUGCUCUCCCAUGAUGUAAAAUAUGCAUGGGGUAUCCAAAUGCAGGAGCUGAGGAGAUUUAAAUAACAAAAGACUUCUAAAAGGAGUCCUGAAAAUAAAAUUUAGAGUGAAACAUUUUUUGUUUGAGAGUAGGUAAAAUGAGAGUAGGUUAUUUGAUUUAAUAGUGGUCUCUUUGGAUCUCUAAAAAUCUUUGCAUGUGCAUUCAAAAAGUAAAUAGAAAUAGUAAAUGCCAGUUGAUUGAAAAUCAUGAUACUUUUGAGAUGAUACUAAAUUUUUACAAUAUGAUAUAAAUCAGAAUAGUGUAGACAGCCAAUUUACAUAAUUCAACCCCAGAAAAUUAACUACAUACAUUCACUAUGUAAUGACUUAAUUCACUUAAGUUGAGCCAAGUGUCAUAAAUUUGCAAUGAACAUUUUUACUUUUUAAAAAAUGAGCUAAUUUUAGAUUUGUCACAGAAAACUACUAUUCAUUGACAUCGCAAAUUGGAAUUAUUAACAGAAAAGCUCAUUUCAAAUAUGGAGAACAUAAGAGAGUGUAGUGAUUGGGAUGUGUUCUCAACAUCAAACUGUAAGAAGAAAAUUUAAUAGCCAGAACUUGAGAAAAAUAUAAUGGGCUACCCGAUGAAUCACUUGGCAGGAAUAUUAUCAAUGGAAUUAAAUAAUGGCCUACUGUCAGUUUAAUUCAAUCAUCUCUUUAGUUAGUAUAUCAAAUUUCAUUCGUAUAUUAUGAGAGGUGAUGCCAUCAUUUUAUCUGCCUGUCUCAUUCUGACUAUAGAAUUUGAGCAACUUCACCAUUCUUCGUUCUUGUUUUGAUGGUCAAAGUUGCUGAAUAAUUGCUUCUUUCCUCCUUUGUGUGUCUUAGGACAAAUACAGCACAAUCUCAGAGUUAACUUAACAUCCAAACUGUUAUUACAUUCUCUGUCCUCAGUUAGUUGGUAGAAUUAUAAUCAGUUAAAAACAGAUUUAAAAAAAAACAGCUUUUACUGAACAUGGAUAUAUAGCAGUGCUACUUUAUAAAAUAAUAGUGUGGCUAAUAUAAUGGCAUUUAUUUAAACAAUUAUUGAGAUUAUUUUUCUCAUCUCUCCUCAUUUUCUGACCUGAGAAAUACAGUUCCAAGUUCACGAGUGAAUGUAAAUGAAGAAACAGGGAAAGCAUUUUAGAAUUUCUUGAAAUCUGGCACCAGGACUGAUUGUACAUAUGUAUAUAUACACUCAUGCAUGUGUGUGCCUAUGUAUGUGUGCAUAUGUGUAUACGUAUGUGUGUAUGAAUAUAUGUAUUUAAUCAUCAUGGGCUGGUAUAUCUGGUUAGAACAAAGUACAAGUAAACCCCAAGUAAUGAGUAAGAUUCCCUCCAGAUCCAGCUAAUUAUUUGAACAUACCCUUUUCAUCACAGCACGUCACUGCUGCAAACAUUGGAAUGCUUUCCCAUGGUUUACUAAACAAAGUACAAAGCUGUCUGACAAUGCAGAUCACAGCAAAGAUCCAAGUGAUGCAUGCCCUUCGGCAGGAUCUUCCCCACCCUGGGUCUCAGUUUUAUCUUCUAGAAAAUACACGUUCAAGAGUGAGAUUUGCAGCUUCCUCCCUGCUCAGACCUCAUGAUUUUGACUGUGAAACCCAUUCAUAUAACUUCAUUAUUCUUAUUCCCAUGUGAGAAGAUGUUUUUUCUCAUGUGCAGGCUGUUUACUAAAGGGCCACACAGCAUGUUACCUUCAAUCCGUAGACAUUUCUGGGAGUCAGCUGCGUGCACUGCAGUUGAAGAUGAGAACUAUUGAAUGCUUACCCAGUGCCAGGCCUGUGUCUCCACGCCUCUCGCCUGUCCCCCCUUAGCACCCUAUGAGGUCGACACUGUGGUCACCCUCCCUUGGCAGGUGCAGAGCAGAGGUGAGGAGGGUAAUGACUUGGUUGGCCUGUCUGACUCGGAAGCGCUGUCUUGCUCACCUCCAGUGUGCUGGGACAGCAGCACAGGAACCACCUCAGAGGUGCUCUGGAGAGAGUGACCAGCACCCACCCUUCCAUGCUGCCAGGGGUUCUUCGAUGUGUCCAGUCUUCUCCUCCCAGCUGCGGGCCUCGAGCAUUUAUCUAAAUGUUUCGCCUCCUUCAGACCCUACCUUGCUUUCUCCUCUCCCACUGUGGGUGGGCUGGCCUCCUACCCCCUGAGAAAAUCAAGGACAGUGAGGAGGAGUGCUGUGGACUUCCCCUCUUUAUCUUCAUCAGCUGCACGGGCAGCUGUGCCUUCCUGCUUUGCCCUGGUCUCCUGGUUAUGAAAGCCAAAUCCCCCACGCAGCUGAGUCCCUUUCCCUCCUGCCUUCUUAUGCUCCUGCACUGUCCUCAACUCCUAUCUCUCUUUAUGUUCAGCUGACCCCCCUCAUCCCUACCCUUCGCUUCACACGCCAUUGACAUAGUUGAGCUCACUCCACCUCGAAAAGCCUCUCCCUGAACUCUGAAUAUUCUCUAGCACAUGUGUGUCCACCUCCAUUUGCAGACAGUCCUGUUCUGUGCAGUUUCUUGUUCCUGGCCUUUAGCCCUAGUGAGCCCCUCCUUCAGAUUUUCCUCUCUUAUUUGUCUAUCAAAACAUUCUUCCCCUCAUAACAGGUGCCCCUCCCUCAAUGAGUUCACCAGUGUCAAAACACCUCCCACACCUUGGAGUAACCAUAAGAUUACUUGCUUCUCUCUCCUACUGAACUUUUAGUGUUUUGAGGAUGGAGACCUUGCCAUAGCACGGUUCUACCUUCCAGCAGUACCAGGCACCUGGAGUCCUGGGCCAUAUUCAUUUCAUGCCCCUAUAGAUGCUGAUUAAAGGCCUUUCCCUUCCCAAUCCCCUGCUAAACUCCAACACAUUCUUGCAGACCCAGGUCAAGUCUCUUCUAUGUACCUUCUGAAAACCUACUCAGUGGAAAUCCUUACUAUUAUUACUAACAUCACUUUUUGCACUAUUUGUCCUCUUGAUCUUUCUCUUAGUGGUUUGUGAAGUUUUUAUAUAUUGCUGUUUUUAUGUCUCCAGGACCUGAAACUGUACUAGGUACAUGGUAGGCACUCAACAAAUAUUUAUUGAAUGAAUGGAUCAAUCAACCAAUCAAACUAUGCAAAAUAAAGAGCAUAAGACUGUGAGAGAGGAGACGAAAGCCUGGCUGGGAGGGAAAGGCCAUAAGGAGUAAUAAGAUAGGAAAGUGUUAGGGUGUGUGGGAGAUCACAAAACAGUAUUUUCAGCGGUCUCCGUUGAGAGUUGACAUCUGCUUUUCCACCCCUCGAAUCUAGGUUUGGCCUUGCAACAGAUGGACCAACAGAACACUAGGAAACACGAUUCAAGUAGCAUCUUGAAAUGUGAUCCUGCAUUGGGGGUCCCCUCUCUUCACUGCACCCGGAACUUCCUCCAAGAAACAGUGGUCUGUGUGGGCACAAAUGAGCUACAGCACGUAUAAGUCAAUGGGAAGAAAGGAAAUGCUCACUAUGCUAGAAGUGACAGUAGAAACUUCCAUUGUGUGUGACUGGAGAGGCACAAAUGAAGGGCAUCUCCCAAACAGGCUUCAUCUUUUGGGAGUGUGAGAGGAGUGACAGUUUAAGGAGGCUUCACAGGCGUCCAUACAACCACAGGAUGAACAGCCUUUUAGAAGUUACUGUUGCCCUUCCAGGAAGACAAGUUUCAUUGCCUGACCCUUUUGUUUCGCCCCAAACCAUCAGGAUAACUGAAAGCCACUCCAACAUGUUGAUUGGGGUAGCCGAGGAAUGAUGCAGACCAGAGCAUCAGAGUAGGUGACAGGCAUUUGACAGUGGACACCCAAAAAAGCACUACUUACAAUAGCAAAAACUUAGAACCAAU